GAGAAGAACGUAGCGAAAUGCGAUAAGUAAUGUGAAUUGCAGAAUUCAGUGAAUCAUCGAAUCUUUGAACGCACCUUGCGCCCUUUGGCUAUUCCGAAGGGCAUGCCUGUUUGAGUAUCAUGAACACCUCAACUCUCAUGGUUUGCCAUGAUGAGCUUGGACUUUGGGGGUCUUGCCGGCCUAUGGGUCGGCUCCUCUCAAAUUAAUCAGCUUGCCAGUGUUUGGUGGCAUCACAGGUGUGAUAACUAUCUACGCUUGUGGUUUUCCAUCAGGUAACCUUCAGUGAUGGAGGUUCGCUGGGGCUCAUAAAUGUCUCUCCUCAGUGAGGACAGCUUUUUUGAACGUUUGAUCUCAAAUCAGGUAGGACUACCCGCUGAACUUAAGCAUAUCAAUAAGCGGAGGA
RNAcentral lists this unclassified non-coding RNA (403 nucleotides) under soil metagenome. RNAcentral's name for it is "partial contains 5.8S ribosomal RNA, internal transcribed spacer 2, and large subunit ribosomal RNA". The stretch from base 3 to 120 matches the Rfam family "5.8S ribosomal RNA", at positions 38 to 154 of the family's 154-position model. The record is from RNAcentral.